UACGGAGGGUGCAAGCGUUAUCCGGAAUCACUGGGUUUAAAGGGUGCGUAGGCGGAUAGAUAAGUCAGAGGUGAAAGGUAGUCGCUUAACGAUUAAAUUGCCUUUGAUACUGUUUAUCUUGAAUUAGGUUGAGGUUGGCGGAAUGAGACAUGUAGCGGUGAAAUGCAUAGAUAUGUCUUAGAACACCGAUUGCGAAGGCAGCUGACUGGACCUUAAUUGACGCUGAGGCACGAAAGCGUGGGGAUCAAACAGG
RNAcentral lists this ribosomal RNA (253 nucleotides) under uncultured bacterium. RNAcentral's name for it is "partial 16S ribosomal RNA". It matches the Rfam family "Bacterial small subunit ribosomal RNA", at positions 524 to 776 of the family's 1533-position model. The record is from RNAcentral.